UACAGAGGUCCCAAGCGUUGUUCGGAUUCACUGGGCGUAAAGGGUGCGUAGGUGGUGAGGUAAGUCGGAUGUGAAAGCUCGGAGCUCAACUCCGAAAUGGCAUUGGAAACUACCUUGCUCGAGGGUUGGAGGGGGGACUGGAAUACUUGGUGUAGCAGUGAAGUGCGUAGAUAUCAAGUGGAACACCAGUGGCGAAGGCGAGUCCCUGGACAACUCCUGACACUGAGGCACGAAAGCUAGGGGAGCAAACAGG
RNAcentral lists this ribosomal RNA (253 nucleotides) under uncultured bacterium. RNAcentral's name for it is "partial 16S ribosomal RNA". It matches the Rfam family "Bacterial small subunit ribosomal RNA", at positions 524 to 776 of the family's 1533-position model. The record is from RNAcentral.